GAUGAACGCUGGCGGCGUGCCUAAUACAUGCAAGUCGAGCGAACAGACGAGGAGCUUGCUCCUCUGACGUUAGCGGCGGACGGGUGAGUAACACGUGGAUAACCUACCUCUAAGACUGGGAUAACUUCGGGAAACCGGAGCUACUACCGGAUAAUAUAUUGACCCGCAUGGUUCCCUAGUGAAAGACGGUUUUGCUGUCACUUAUAGAUGGAUCCGCGCCGCAUUAGCUAGUUGGUAAGGUAACGGCUUACCAAGGCAACGAUGCGUAGCCGACCUGAGAGGGUGAUCGGCCACACUGGAACUGAGACACGGUCCAGACUCCUACGGGAGGCAGCAGUAGGGAAUCUUCCGCAAUGGGCGAAAGCCUGACGGAGCAACGCCGCGUGAGUGAUGAAGGUCUUCGGAUCGUAAAACUCUGUUAUUAGGGAAGAACAAAUGUGUAAGUAACUAUGCACGUCUUGACGGUACCUAAUCAGAAAGCCACGGCUAACUACGUG
This 497-nucleotide ribosomal RNA is filed under the name uncultured bacterium. RNAcentral describes it as "partial 16S ribosomal RNA". It matches the Rfam family "Bacterial small subunit ribosomal RNA", at positions 28 to 507 of the family's 1533-position model. The record is from RNAcentral.